GGAAUAUUGGACAAUGGGCGAAAGCCUGAUCCAGCAAUGCCGCGUGAGUGAUGAAGGCCUUAGGGUUGUAAAGCUCUUUUACCCGGGAUGAUAAUGACAGUACCGGGAGAAUAAGCCCCGGCUAACUCCGUGCCAGCAGCCGCGGUCAUACGGAGGGGGCUAGCGUUGUUCGGAAUUACUGGGCGUAAAGCGCACGUAGGCGGCUUUGUAAGUUAGAGGUGAAAGCCCGGAGCUCAACUCCGGAACUGCCUUUAAGACUGCAUCGCUAGAACGUCGGAGAGGUAAGUGGAAUUCCGAGUGUAGAGGUGAAGUUCGUAGAUAUUCGGAAGAACACCAGUGGCGAAGGCGACUCACUGGACAUGUAUUGACGCUGAGGUACGAAAGCGUGGGGAGCAAAC
This 398-nucleotide ribosomal RNA is filed under the name uncultured bacterium. RNAcentral's name for it is "bacterial SSU rRNA". It matches the Rfam family "Bacterial small subunit ribosomal RNA", at positions 358 to 773 of the family's 1533-position model. The record is from RNAcentral.